GUUUGCGCCAUCUUACGACUGAGGCUACAUAGAGCACGAGAUUGGACGGCCAGGAUAGUGCGCUCCCAUGUUAAGCGGUCGUGGCCCACUCUUUUAGCAUGAUCAAAUGGUGGUCAGGCCUUCCUUGCGGACCUAAUGGCCAGGAGUUGAUACUGGGUUGAUCCAAUCUCCAGACUUGAUUCUUCACAUGAUCCAAUGGCCCAGAACCCCUUGAUGGCAUGAUCGGAUGGUUAGCAAUGAUUUUAGCUUGAUUUGAGAUAUGAUGAAGCUAAUUUGCACCCAUUUGAUCCCGAUUGAAGGGCUGUGGUGCUCCACACAAAUUGGAUGCUGAUUCCACGCUAUUCCCAUGCUUUUUGGAUGUGGUUUGGAGCCCUAUUUAAAGGGUGGCCAUGGGCAACGAGAAAGAGGCAGUAGGCAGUUGCAGAAGUUUUUUUUAAUCUUUUUAGAUUUUAUUUUAGGAUUUGAG
This 466-nucleotide long non-coding RNA is filed under the name Elaeis guineensis (African oil palm). RNAcentral describes it as "long non-coding RNA (EGUI_LNC002614)". The record is from RNAcentral. Lineage: Eukaryota; Viridiplantae; Streptophyta; Magnoliopsida; Arecales; Arecaceae.